GCGCUGUUAGUGUAGUGGUAACACACAACCUGCAUCUUAUGAAGAGCGAGCGAAAUAUACAGGUUGGGUCUUGGGUUCGAAUCCCGGAUGGCGCA
Non-coding RNA from Mycena epipterygia, 95 nucleotides. The record is from the annotation of a GenBank genome assembly. Lineage: Eukaryota; Fungi; Basidiomycota; Agaricomycetes; Agaricales; Mycenaceae.